Molecule: ribosomal RNA, 483 nt
Filed under: uncultured Friedmanniella sp.
Lineage: Bacteria; Bacillati; Actinomycetota; Actinomycetes; Propionibacteriales; Nocardioidaceae
Description: bacterial SSU rRNA
Rfam family: Bacterial small subunit ribosomal RNA
Source: RNAcentral
AGAGUUUCGAUCCUGGCUCAGGACGACGCUGCGGCGUGCUUAACACAUGCAAGUCGAACGGUAAGGCCCCUUCGGGGGUACACGAGUGGCGAACGGGUGAGUAACACGUGAGCAACCUGCCCUUGACUCUGGAAUAACAGUUGGAAACAGCUGCUAAUACUGGAUAUUCAUCGUUCCUUCCUGGGGGUGGUGGAAAGCUCCGGCGGUCAGGGAUGGGCUCGCGGCCUAUCAGCUUGUUGGUGAGGUAAUGGCUCACCAAGGCUUCGACGGGUAGCCGGCCUGAGAGGGCGACCGGCCACACUGGGACUGAGAUACGGCCCAGACUCCUACGGGAGGCAGCAGUGGGGAAUAUUGCACAAUGGGCGCAAGCCUGAUGCAGCAACGCCGCGUGCGGGAUGACGGCCUUCGGGUUGUAAACCGCUUUCAGUAGGGACGAAGGGUGACUGACGGUACCUACAGUAAGAAGGACCGGCUAACUACGUG